Molecule: unclassified non-coding RNA, 520 nt
Filed under: uncultured Glomus
Lineage: Eukaryota; Fungi; Glomeromycota; Glomeromycetes; Glomerales; Glomeraceae
Description: SSU rRNA
Rfam family: Eukaryotic small subunit ribosomal RNA
Source: RNAcentral
AGCAGCCGCGGUAAUUCCAGCUCCAAUAGCGUAUAUUAAAGUUGUUGCAGUUAAAAGCUCGUAGUUGAAUUUCGGGAUCAGUUGGUCGGUCGUGCCUCGGUACGUACUGGUCAAAUUGAUUCCUACCUUCUGACGAACCACGAUGUCAUUAAUUUGGUGUCGUGGGAAAUCAGGACUGUUACUUUGAAAAAAUUAGAGUGUUUAAAGCAGGCUCGCGCUUGAAUACAUUAGCAUGGAAUAAUGAAAUAGGACGUUUGAUUCUAUUUUGUUGGUUUCUAGGAUCGACGUAAUGAUUAAUAGGGAUAGUUGGGGGCAUUAGUAUUCAAUUGUCAGAGGUGAAAUUCUUGGAUUUAUUGAAGACUAACUACUGCGAAAGCAUUUGCCAAGGAUGUUUUCAUUAAUCAAGAACGAAAGUUAGGGGAUCGAAGACGAUCAGAUACCGUCGUAGUCUUAACCAUAAACUAUGCCGACUAGGGAUCGGAUGAUGUUAAUUUUUUAAUGACUCAUUCGGCGCCUUACG